AUUGCCCUAGUAACGGCGAGUGAAGCGGCAACAGCUCAAAUUUGAAAUCUGGCCCUCGUGGUCCGAGUUGUAAUUUGUAGAGGAUGCUUUUGGCGCGGUGCCUUCUGAGUUCCCUGGAACGGGACGCCAGAGAGGGUGAGAGCCCCGUACGGUUGGACACCUAGCCUCUGUAUAGCUCCUUCGACGAGUCGAGUAGUUUGGGAAUGCUGCUCUAAAUGGGAGGUAAAUUUCUUCUAAAGCUAAAUACCGGCCAGAGACCGAUAGCGCACAAGUAGAGUGAUCGAAAGAUGAAAAGCACUUUGAAAAGAGGGUUAAAUAGCACGUGAAAUUGUUGAAAGGGAAGCGUUUGCGACCAGACCUUUUCCUGGCGGAUCAUCCGGUGUUCUCACCGGUGCACUUCGCUUGGUUUAGGCCAGCAUCGGUUUUCUUAGGGGGAUAAAGGCUUAGGGAACGUAGCUCCUCCGGGAGUGUUAUAGCCCUCUGCGUAAUACCCUUCAGGGGACCGAGGACCGCGCUCUGCAAGGAUGCUGGCGUAAUGGUCGUCAACGACCCGUCUUGAAACACGGACCAAGGAGUCGAACAUUUGUGCGAGUGUUUGGGUGUUAAACCCUCACGCGUAAUGAAAGUGAACGGAGGUGAGAGCCCUUACGGGUGCAUCAUCGACCGAUCCUGAUGUCUUCGGAUGGAUUUGAGUAAGAGCAUAACUGUUCGGACCCGAAAGAUGGUGAACUAUGCGUGGAUAGGGUGAAGCCAGAGGAAACUCUGGUGGAGGCUCGCAGCGGUUCUGACGUGCAAAUCGAUCGUCAAAUCUGCGCAUGGGGGCGAAAGACUUAUCGAACCAUCUAGUAGCUGGUUACCGCCGAAGUUUCCCUCAGGAUAGCAGUGUUGUCUUCAGUUUUAUGAGGUAAAGCGAAUGAUUAGGGACUCGGGGGCGCUAUUUAGCCUUCAUCCAUUCUCAAACUUUAAAUAUGUAAGAAGCCCUUGUUACUUAAUUGAACGUGGGCAUUCGAAUGUACCAACACUAGUGGGCCAUUUUUGGUAAGCAGAACUGGCGAUGCGGGAUGAACCGAACGCGGGGUUAAGGUGCCAGAGUGGACGCUCAUCAGACACCACAAAAGGUGUUAGUACAUCUUGACAGCAGGACGGUGGCCAUGGAAGUCGGAAUCCGCUAAGGACUGUGUAACAACUCACCUGCCGAAUGUACUAGCCCUGAAAAUGGAUGGCGCUCAAGCGUCUCACCCAUACCUCGCCCUCAGGGUAGAAACGAUGCCCUGAGGAGUAGGCGGCCGUGGAGGUUAGUGACGAAGCCUAG
Molecule: ribosomal RNA, 1312 nt
Filed under: Hypoxylon perforatum
Lineage: Eukaryota; Fungi; Ascomycota; Sordariomycetes; Xylariales; Hypoxylaceae
Description: LSU rRNA
Rfam family: Eukaryotic large subunit ribosomal RNA
Source: RNAcentral